GCCCGGAUGGCGAAAUUGGUAGACGCAAGAGACUUAAAAUCUCUCGGUGGCAACACCGUGCCGGUUCGACCCCGGCUCCGGGCACCA
RNAcentral lists this transfer RNA (87 nucleotides) under Halomonas sp. PA5. RNAcentral describes it as "tRNA-Leu". It matches the Rfam family "tRNA". From Rfam's summary of the family: Transfer RNA (tRNA) molecules are approximately 80 nucleotides in length. Their secondary structure includes four short double-helical elements and three loops (D, anti-codon, and T loops). The record is from RNAcentral. Lineage: Bacteria; Pseudomonadati; Pseudomonadota; Gammaproteobacteria; Oceanospirillales; Halomonadaceae.